GUGCUUGCACCGGUCCAAGGAGUUGCGAACGGGUGAGUAACGCGUAGGUAACCUACCUCAUAGCGGGGGAUAACUAUUGGAAACGAUAGCUAAUACCGCAUGACAAUGGAGGACUCAUGUCUUUCAUUUAAAAGGUGCAAUUGCAUCACUAUGAGAUGGACCUGCGUUGUAUUAGCUAGUUGGUGAGGUAACGGCUCACCAAGGCGACGAUACAUAGCCGACCUGAGAGGGUGAUCGGCCACACUGGGACUGAGACACGGCCCAGACUCCUACGGGAGGCAGCAAUAGGGAAUCUUCGGCAAUGGACGGAAGUCUGACCGAGCAACGCCGCGUGAGUGAAGAAGGUUUUCGGAUCGUAAAGCUCUGUUGUUAGAGAAGAAUGAUGGUGGGAGUGGAAAAUCCACCAUGUGACGGUAACUAACCAGAAAGGGACGGCUAACUACGUGCCAGCAGCCGCGGUAAUACGUAGGUCCCGAGCGUUGUCCGGAUUUAUUGGGCGUAAAGCGAGCGCAGGCGGUUCUUUAAGUCUGAAGUUAAAGGCAGUGGCUCAACCAUUGUACGCUUUGGAAACUGGAGAACUUGAGUGCAGAAGGGGAGAGUGGAAUUCCAUGUGUAGCGGUGAAAUGCGUAGAUAUAUGGAGGAACACCGGUGGCGAAAGCGGCUCUCUGGUCUGUAACUGACGC
This 684-nucleotide ribosomal RNA is filed under the name Streptococcus dysgalactiae. RNAcentral describes it as "bacterial SSU rRNA". It matches the Rfam family "Bacterial small subunit ribosomal RNA", at positions 76 to 746 of the family's 1533-position model. Lineage: Bacteria; Bacillati; Bacillota; Bacilli; Lactobacillales; Streptococcaceae. The record is from RNAcentral.